Paramuricea clavata is the source of this 523-nucleotide non-coding RNA. NCBI's taxonomy places the organism in Eukaryota, Metazoa, Cnidaria, Anthozoa, Malacalcyonacea, Plexauridae. The record is from the annotation of a GenBank genome assembly.
GUCGACCACUCGCGACUUCGUCGCUCGGGUCGCGUGUUCCCUUCCCCGCGCCCUCCCUCCCCCAUGGUCGACUUGUGGCAAGUCUAGCCUGAAACCAUGUCUAGGAAAUGUGAUGUUUGUGACAAGGUAUUUUCACAGAGAAGCUCUUUAUUAAAACAUAAAAGAACACACAAUGAAGAGAAACCUUAUAAAUGUGAUGUUUGUAACAAAAGAUUUUUACGAUCAGGCCACUUAGCAGUUCAUAAGAGAACACACACUGGAGAGAAACCUUAUGGAUGUGAUGUUUGCAACAAGAGAUUUUCCCACUCAAGCACCUUAGUUACACAUGAAAGAACGCACACUGGAGACAAACCUUAUGAAUGUGAUGUUUGCAACAAGAGAUUUUUGCAGUCAAGCAACUUAGCAGUUCAUAAGAGAACACACACUGGACUGACUGGAGAGAAACCUUAUGAAUGUGAUGUUUGCAACAAAAGAUUUUUGCAGUCUGGCACCUUAGCUACCCAUAAAAGAACACACACUGGAG